RNAcentral lists this ribosomal RNA (497 nucleotides) under uncultured bacterium. Its description in RNAcentral is "partial 16S ribosomal RNA". It matches the Rfam family "Bacterial small subunit ribosomal RNA", at positions 28 to 507 of the family's 1533-position model. The record is from RNAcentral.
GAUGAACGCUGGCGGCGUGCCUAAUACAUGCAAGUCGAGCGAACGGACGAGAAGCUUGCUUCUCUGAUGUUAGCGGCGGACGGGUGAGUAACACGUGGAUAACCUACCUAUAAGACUGGGAUAACUUCGGGAAACCGGAGCUAAUACCGGAUAAUAUUUUGAACCGCAUGGUUCAAAAGUGAAAGACGGUCUUGCUGUCACUUAUAGAUGGAUCCGCGCUGCAUUAGCUAGUUGGUAAGGUAACGGCUUACCAAGGCAACGAUGCAUAGCCGACCUGAGAGGGUGAUAGGCCACACUGGAACGGAGACACGGUCCAGACUCCUACGGGAGGCAGCAGUAGGGAAUCUUCCGCAAUGGGCGAAAGCCUGACGGAGCAACGCCGCGUGAGUGAUGAAGGUCUUCGGAUCGUAAAACUCUGUUAUUAGGGAAGAACAUAUGUGUAAGUAACUGUGCACAUCUUGACGGUACCUAAUCAGAAAGCCACGGCUAACUACGUG